GCAUUGGUGUUCAGUGGUAAAAUUAUUGCCUUCCAUGCAAGAGACUUAGGUUUGACUCCCUGUCAAUGCA
RNAcentral lists this transfer RNA (70 nucleotides) under Loxodonta africana (African savanna elephant). It matches the Rfam family "tRNA". From Rfam's summary of the family: Transfer RNA (tRNA) molecules are approximately 80 nucleotides in length. Their secondary structure includes four short double-helical elements and three loops (D, anti-codon, and T loops). The record is from Rfam by way of RNAcentral. Lineage: Eukaryota; Metazoa; Chordata; Mammalia; Proboscidea; Elephantidae.